Molecule: long non-coding RNA, 871 nt
Filed under: Salmo salar (Atlantic salmon)
Lineage: Eukaryota; Metazoa; Chordata; Actinopteri; Salmoniformes; Salmonidae
Description: lncRNA (ENSSSAG00000121967.1)
Source: RNAcentral
AGGUUCGUACAGUUUAUUCACGAGAAAGUCCACAAUACAAAGACAUGCCAUUUUAUAACUCACUCCCUACUUACGCGCAUUCCUCCACACAAACAGUAGAUAGCCUACGCACAUACAUACACACGAACAGUAGGUAAAAUGUAUCCUUCCCCAUGGUUCUCACCACUGUUCAUCAUUACCAAACUGGCAGUUCCAUCCCCCCGAGAUUAGAGGAACCUUGAAAGGACUCCCUGUCCUAUCGAAUCUUCUAACUUGGAUGGACGAGGGAAAAAAGGGAAGGAGUAGAGAAGUUAUCCAGCCUGCUGACUAAGAAAUGGAAAUAGCCUAUGCUUUGCUGUCUAUCUCUCUCUAUCUCUCUCCGUCUGUCUGCCUGCCUGCCUAACUGACAUAUUGCUGAAGGGCAACAUAGUCAAUGUACUUGCUAGGCCAAGCCUAACUUAGUGAAGACCUUGAUUUGUCUCUGUCUUUACAGUUCCUGAAACAUGUCAAUGGCCUGAUGCAUGGCCUCUACAGAGGUGGUUGGCCACCCACUCAGUUACCAGUGACCUAUUCUGCCACAUCCCAGGGAAUUGAGAGCGCAGGACCACCCCUUCUUAAAUCCAUAGUAAUUGACACAGAGGGUUCUACCUGGAACCCAAAACGGUUCAAACUGGAACCAAAAAGGCUUUGCCUAUGAGGACAGCUGAACAACCUUUUGGACCCUUGUUUCUAAGAGUGUAGUGUGCAAAAGCCUUGUGUCCUGAUUCAACAGACACCUCCCCUGGUGAGUCAUGUAAAGUUUCCUGAUUCAACAAAACCUCCCCUGGUGAGUCAUGUAAAGUUUCCUGAUUGAACAAACACCUCCCCUGGUGAGUCAUGUAAAGUUUCUCCC